RNAcentral lists this ribosomal RNA (322 nucleotides) under uncultured eukaryote. RNAcentral describes it as "partial 18S ribosomal RNA". It matches the Rfam family "Eukaryotic small subunit ribosomal RNA", at positions 1470 to 1796 of the family's 1831-position model. The record is from RNAcentral.
CCCUUAGCUGUCCUGGGCCGCACGCGCGCUACACUGACAUGUUCAACAAGUUUCUCCUAGUUCGACAGGACUGGGAAAUCUUUGAACGCAUGUCGUGAUAGGGAUAGAUCAUUGCAAUUAUUGAUCUUGAACGAGGAAUUCCUAGUAAACGCGAGUCAUCAGCUCGCAUUGAUUACGUCCCUGCCCUUUGUACACACCGCCCGUCGCACCUACCGAUUGAAUGUUUCGGUGAAGAUUCCGGAUAGGACUGAUUUGAUUUAUUUCAUUUCUGACCUAAAAGCUAUCUAAACCUCAACAUUUAGAGGAAGGUGAAGUCGUAACA